RNAcentral lists this ribosomal RNA (507 nucleotides) under uncultured bacterium. RNAcentral describes it as "bacterial SSU rRNA". It matches the Rfam family "Bacterial small subunit ribosomal RNA", at positions 33 to 518 of the family's 1533-position model. The record is from RNAcentral.
ACGCUGGCGGCGUGCCUAACACAUGCAAGUCGAACGGGGAUUUGUUUCGGCAGGAUCCUAGUGGCGAACGGGUGAGUAACGCGUAGGCAACCUGCCCUCCGGCCGGGGACAACACUCCGAAAGGGGUGCUAAUACCGGAUACGAAGUCUGUGCCGCAUGGUACGGAUUUGAAAGAUGGCCUCUAUUUAUAAGCUAUCGCCGGGGGAUGGGCCUGCGUCCGAUUAGCUGGUUGGUGGGGUAACGGCCUACCAAGGCGACGAUCGGUAGCCGGUCUGAGAGGAUGAACGGCCACAUUGGGACUGAGACACGGCCCAGACUCCUACGGGAGGCAGCAGUGGGGAAUCUUCCGCAAUGGGCGCAAGCCUGACGGAGCAACGCCGCGUGAGUGAGGAAGUUCUUCGGAACGUAAAGCUCUGUUGUUCCUGACGAACCUCCCCUCUAUCAACAACGGAGGGGACUGACGGUAGGGAACGAGGAAGCCACGGCUAACUACGUGCCAGCCGCCGC